Molecule: ribosomal RNA, 405 nt
Filed under: uncultured bacterium
Lineage: Bacteria
Description: partial 16S ribosomal RNA
Rfam family: Bacterial small subunit ribosomal RNA
Source: RNAcentral
AUUGAACGCUGGCGGCAGGCCUAACACAUGCAAGUCGAACGAGUGGCGGACGGGUGAGUAAUGUCUGGGCAACUGCCUGAUGGAGGGGGAUAACUACUGGAACCGGUAGCUAAUACCGCAUACCAUCAGAUGUGCCCAGAUGGGAUUAGCUAGUUGGUGGGGUAACGGCUCACCAAGGCGACGAUCCCUAGCUGGUCUGAGAGGAUGACCAGCCACAGUGGAAGUGAGACACGGUACAGAGCCCUACGGGAGGCAGCAGUGGGUAAUAUUGCACAAUGGGCGCAAGCCUGAUGCAGCCAUGCCGCGUGUAUGAAGAAGGCCUUCGGGUUGUAAAGUACUUUCAGCGGGGAGACGUUACCCGCAGAAGAAGCACCGGCAAACUCCGUCCCAGUGGCCGCGGUAAUA